This 537-nucleotide ribosomal RNA is filed under the name Rhacophorus reinwardtii (Reinwardt's flying frog). RNAcentral's name for it is "partial 16S ribosomal RNA". It matches the Rfam family "Bacterial large subunit ribosomal RNA", at positions 1810 to 2577 of the family's 2925-position model. Lineage: Eukaryota; Metazoa; Chordata; Amphibia; Anura; Rhacophoridae. The record is from RNAcentral.
AAAACAUCGCCUCUUGAUAGCUAUAAGAGGUCCAGCCUGCCCAGUGAUAAAUUCAACGGCCGCGGUAUCCUAACCGUGCGAAGGUAGCAUAAUCACUUGUUCUUUAAAUAGGGACUCGUAUCAACGGCAUCACGAGGGUUACACUGUCUCCUCUUUCCAAUCAGUGAAACUGAUCUUCCCGUGAAGAAGCGGGAAUGAACUAAUAAGACGAGAAGACCCCAUGGAGCUUUAAACCUCACAGCAACUCUAACAUAUAUUUCCCCAUAACCCGCAGAGCAAUGCUAGUCGGUUUUAGGUUGGGGUGACCGCGGAGCAAAAACUACCCUCCACGACGAACAGAACUAAAUCUUUAUCCAAGAGCAACCACUCUAAGAACUAGCACACUAACGUAUCAUGACCCGAUAAUCGAUCAACGGACCAAGUUACCCUGGGGAUAACAGCGCAAUCUGCUUCAAGAGCCCAUAUCGACAAGCAGGCUUACGACCUCGAUGUUGGAUCAGGGUACCCCAGUGGUGCAGCCGCUACUAACGGUUCGUU